AUUGAACGCUGGCGGCAGGCUUAACACAUGCAAGUCGAGCGGGGGAAGGUAGCUUGCUACCGGACCUAGCGGCGGACGGGUGAGUAAUGCUUAGGAAUCUGCCUAUUAGUGGGGGACAACAUCUCGAAAGGGAUGCUAAUACCGCAUACGUCCUACGGGAGAAAGCAGGGGAUCUUCGGACCUUGCGCUAAUAGAUGAGCCUAAGUCGGAUUAGCUAGUUGGUGGGGUAAAGGCCUACCAAGGCGACGAUCUGUAGCGGGUCUGAGAGGAUGAUCCGCCACACUGGGACUGGGACACGGCCCAGACUCCGACGGGAGGGAGCAGGGGGGAAAAUUGGACAAUGGGGGGAACCCUGAUCCAGCCAUGCCGCGUGUGUGAAGAAGGCCUUAUGGUUGUAAAGCACUUUAAGCGAGGAGGAGGCUACUUUAGUUAAUACCUAGAGAUAGUGGACGUUACUCGCAGAAUAAGCACCGGCUAACUCUGUGCCAGCAGCCGCGGUAA
Molecule: ribosomal RNA, 501 nt
Filed under: uncultured bacterium
Lineage: Bacteria
Description: partial 16S ribosomal RNA
Rfam family: Bacterial small subunit ribosomal RNA
Source: RNAcentral